Molecule: unclassified non-coding RNA, 220 nt
Filed under: Hevea brasiliensis (rubber tree)
Lineage: Eukaryota; Viridiplantae; Streptophyta; Magnoliopsida; Malpighiales; Euphorbiaceae
Source: RNAcentral
AAAGUUCUCUGUGUAGUCUGACAGAUGGUGCAUGCUCCUUGAUAGAGCUAUCAUCAACCGUGCCCGAAACUUUCGCACUUGGUUGGUCAUUACUAGCUGUUCCAAUAGAUAGGUCAGGCUUCUUCACUGAAUUGGGGAAGCGAGAAAUAGCAUCCCUCUUAAUAGAUCCUCCAUGAAUUGGAGUUUUGGGCUCUUCAUUCUCAUUAUCCACACACAAACG